AUAUAUAUAUAUAUAUAUAUAUCUCACUCACUCACUACAUAAACAUAUUCACAGGACACUCAACUUAUCUCUUUUCCUACAUCAGAUAUGCAGGUGACAUUUCCACCAGGAUGACAGCACAUAAUCAGAAAAACGGAGAUGCUCUUCAUCCGAGGGACUGCCUGCCCAUUCUCAGAUGUUAGAUAAUCCGAGAUGAUCACUUCAUUUACAUUCCAGCCCUAACCUGAACGUUCUGCUUCUUCCUCCACACCAUCCAGCGAUGACCCCAAGAUGCUAAGUCGGGCGGCAGCGUAGCCUAGUGGUUAGAGCGUUGGACUAGUAACCGAAAGGUUGCGAGUUCAAACCCCCGAGCUGACAAGGUACAAAUCUGUCGUUCUGCCCCUGAACAGGCAGUUAACCCACUGUUCCCAGGCCGUCAUUGAAAAUAAGAAUGUGUUCUUAACUGACUUGCCUGGUUAAAUAAAGGUUAAAUAUAUAUAUAUUUUUUAAAGUCAGAGCCUUGUCAGCUCCAGAUUUGACUACUUCAACUCACAUCCUGCUGGAAUCCCUGCAUUCUCAGAUUCCCCUCUGUUAUUAAUCUCUAUAUUGUAAUCAAUAAAAAGUGUUUCAAAAUGCUGUACUUUUAUUAACAUAUUAUGUUCAGAUCACACCUGAGAAGGGGUGUAAUAUAUCCAGAUGGGCGUGUGGUACCCUUCCUCACCCAUGGCAAAAAGAUGUUACUUCUUGUGGGGUCUUUACUUAUACUCUCAUACUUACUUUCAAGGCAAUGUACAAUGAACCUACUGAAAGAAUAAGAAUAAGACUAAAAGGCUAAACAGAACUGUCAAAUUAUAUUAUAGCUGUGUUGUAUACUUAAAAUCUUAAGUGUUAGAAUCUUAAGUGUGACAAUUUUGUUGAGGAAAACAACUGAAAUGUCCAAUUGUUUUCCCCAGUUUGCGGUGUUCUGAAGGAGGAGUCGAUUUGCCUUUUCAAAUACGGACAAAGAUGUUAACAUCACGAGAGAAGAAAUAGCUGUCACUCUCCUCAAACACUGAUAACCCGAGCCACUCCUGUGGGGAGGUGGACAAUAAUGAGGAAGACACUAACUUGAUUGGUUGUGCCCACGAUGGUUCCACCAGUCCUGUAUGAAAACCACCUCAUCAUUGUAGGAUUAUGUCUGCGCUGCGUGUCAGGACUAGGUUAGGCUUGAGUUCCAGGCGACGGUAUCACCUGGAAAACGUUCCAUAAAAAGUGGACUAAAUGUUCAGUCGAGCGGUUGCAGCUUUCCAAUAUUUGUUUGUUAUUUGUCUUUUUUAGGGGGGGCUUUUCGGCACAACACCUGUUUAGGGGAGAGUUUCGCCGGGGGAGAGGACUUUACAAGUAGGCAGUCAUUGUAAAUAAUAAUUUGUUCUUAAAUGACUUGCCUAGUUAAGUAAUGCUUAAAAACAAAUAACAUAGCAUUUCUGUGCUAGCGUUUAGCAUGUUGUCACUUUCCUCUUCUGCUAUCUACAAUACGAGACGAGCUGGUUUCAGUGAAACUGUCUAGCAAAUGAGCAAUGCGAUUGAUUAACGUUAAUUGAUGUUGAGUGUUAGCUAGUUUGACAACUAGGUUAGCUAGCUAGCCAAGUGUUCUGCUAGCAAAGGGCUAACGUUAGCUGGCUAAACUGUUAUGGUACUUUAUACUAACGAGAUUGCAGCCUCACUUUACAUAACUAUCUACGUAUUUUACCUAUUUAAUUAGUAAUUGAACCAUUAUUU
This is a long non-coding RNA of Oncorhynchus keta (chum salmon), 1737 nucleotides long. RefSeq lists it as uncharacterized. The record is from RefSeq and is a predicted model, not a curated record. The transcript has 3 exons. Lineage: Eukaryota; Metazoa; Chordata; Actinopteri; Salmoniformes; Salmonidae.